Long non-coding RNA from Anthonomus grandis grandis, 820 nucleotides. RefSeq lists it as uncharacterized. Lineage: Eukaryota; Metazoa; Arthropoda; Insecta; Coleoptera; Curculionidae. The transcript is spliced from 2 exons. The record is from RefSeq and is a predicted model, not a curated record.
UGAGCAAGAUGAGAAAACCAACAAGUCAAAAAAGCCACCAAGAACAAUAAAUUCGACCCCAAAACAAGCUCUUCACCGAGGAAAAUAAGGUGGAUUUUAGACUUCUUUUUAACAGCUUAGACCUAGUGUGACUAUUAAUAUUCUAUAUACAAGAAAAAUGCAUGGAAACCAUAAUCCGACUUAAAGAAGUACAAAAACAGGCACAGGAUGCCGCAGUUUCGGCCCAUUUUUUAUUUCCAAUAAAACAAAUUAUUUAUUUAGAUUUGAACAAAUAUAUUGUACUACAAGAAAAUGCUCUACAUCCUUAAUCUAAUCAUUAUUUUCUUAUGAUAUAUAUUAGAUGAAACGUAUUAAAUAAAUCAGACCAUAACUAACCAUGAGAUUACUUGUUGUUCACAUCUAAUUUUUUCUUUUCAUAGAGCCAAUGGGAUUUCAUCUCCUUCAUCAUAAAAUUUAUUUACUUACGAGUUCAACUUUUCUGGAUUGCUGUUUGACUCCACAUUCCAUAGGGUUGCCAUGAUAUUAAGAUAGUCGGGGAGAUGAAUUUCAAUUCGUAGUUAAUUUAAGGAUGUAUUAAACAGUGUUAUUCUUUUCCUACUGAUUUUGCCUCUUUAACGAUUUGUCAGGGAGCUAACAGAGCCGGCGACGUUUCUUUGCUCUAAAUAUCAGAUUUUCCUCUAUCAACAGCCUUUUACGGCAGAACUUUUUUGCUAAUCAAUUCAUUCAAUAAAUUCACCACCAGGGCCGAUAUGAAAUUAAUAUUUUAUCGGUCGGACGGUAAAAUAUCCAUUUUAUUUCGACCUUGAAAUUUUGACUUAUA